CGGGUGAGUAACGCGUGGAUAACCUGCCUCACACUGGGGAUAACAGUUAGAAAUGACUGCUAAUACCGCAUAAGCGCACAGUACCGCAUGGUACAGUGUGAAAAACUCCGGUGGUGUGAGAUGGAUCCGCGUCUGAUUAGCCAGUUGGCGGGGUAACGGCCCACCAAAGCGACGAUCAGUAGCCGACCUGAGAGGGUGACCGGCCACAUUGGGACUGAGACACGGCCCAA
RNAcentral lists this ribosomal RNA (230 nucleotides) under uncultured bacterium. RNAcentral describes it as "partial 16S ribosomal RNA". It matches the Rfam family "Bacterial small subunit ribosomal RNA", at positions 103 to 334 of the family's 1533-position model. The record is from RNAcentral.